Molecule: long non-coding RNA, 989 nt
Organism: Lagopus muta (rock ptarmigan)
Lineage: Eukaryota; Metazoa; Chordata; Aves; Galliformes; Phasianidae
Exons: 8
Source: RefSeq, a predicted model, not a curated record
GUUCCUGACCGCUGGAAGCGUUAGCCCCUUAUCAGGCCUGAUGGCUGCUGCUGAGGUGCAGAAGUACGCUCCUUGUUCAGGACCCGCCACCUGGCUGAAGAACUCCGUCCCAAAGGAUGCAGAUGGUCUUUUCGAGGUGGUGGUGUAGGUGUUUGAACUGAGGACUCACUCACUGCCUUGCCAUCUGCAGAGGGGCGUCAUUAGGAGGAACAAGGGAGUCAUUUCUGCUUUGGUCCAUGUAAAGCUCGGUGGGAUGCUGCCUUUCUGUCUUGCAGACUUUCUGCUCAGAAGCCCAGUGUAUUUUCAGGAAUCCCAAAUUUCAAUUGGCACGAAGCUGACACGGCCCCACAUAUGAAAGACGAGCUGUUGAAAAGAAGCAAGCUCACCAGAAAGACGUGAUUAAAUUUUGCAGAAGAAGCCCUUACUGUUAAUCAAGAGAGGGAGAUUAGAAGAGAUGAGAACCACCAGCCUGAAGAGCACUUUGCAUUUGACUACACCUUUCUACCAGCCUGUGUGUUUCUCUUCUGAUAUCUCUGCAGGGAGAAGUUCUCCAGUGAAUCUAUGAAAAGGAGCCUCUACGCUGUAUCAGAUUCUUAUAUUAAUUGACUGAUAGAUAUUAAGACCUACUAUUAUGGUCAUCCAGUCUGGCCUUCUGCAUGAACAGACAUGGAAUUCCAGCACAGUAAUUCAUGCUUUUUCAGAAGAAAUUCAUACAAACUACAAAAUUUACAGGUAAAUGAAGAGCUGCUUCAACUCAGUGGCACAAUGACCAAACCAUUUGGCAGUGGGCACAAAGAUGGAAUCUGAACAGUAAGAAACUGACCAUCAGCAAGAUGCUCCAAGCAGGAGUGUUGGGACCGGGGAACUUUCUCACCGCACCAGGGCUGACGUGGAUGAUGGAUGUGAUUCCAGAAGGGAAGCGCAUGGGAAGGUCCUUGCAGUGAGAUUCCCCAGGAGGUGGCAGGAAGGCAGUUAGGAUGCAGAGAGCA